UACCAGCUCUCCGAGUGGUGUGGAUGUUUAUUGGGCCUAAAGCAUCCGUAGCUGGCUGGGCAAGUCCCCUGUUAAAUCCACCGAUUUAAUCGUUGGUGUGCGGGGGAUACUGUUCGGCUAGGGGACGGGAGAGGCCGACGGUAUUUCCGGGGUAGGGGUGAAAUCCUAUAAUCCCGGGAAGACCACCAGUGGCGAAGGCUGUCGGCUAGAACGCGCCCGACGGUGAGGGAUGAAAGCUGGGGGAGCGAACCGGAUUAGAUACCCGGGUAGUCCCAGCUGUAAACGAUGCAGGCUAGGUGCUUGGGCGGCCACGUGCCGCUCUAGUGCCGCAAGGAAGCUGUUAAGCCUGCCGCCUGGGGAGUACGGCCGCAAGGCUGAAACUUAAAGGAAUUGGCGGGGGAGCACCACAAGGGGUGAAGCUUGCGGUUU
RNAcentral lists this ribosomal RNA (429 nucleotides) under uncultured archaeon. RNAcentral describes it as "bacterial SSU rRNA". It matches the Rfam family "Archaeal small subunit ribosomal RNA", at positions 474 to 903 of the family's 1478-position model. The record is from RNAcentral.